This 385-nucleotide long non-coding RNA is filed under the name Carica papaya (papaya). RNAcentral's name for it is "long non-coding RNA (CPAP_LNC002918)". The record is from RNAcentral. Lineage: Eukaryota; Viridiplantae; Streptophyta; Magnoliopsida; Brassicales; Caricaceae.
AAGGGCCUCAUCGGAGGCAAAAACCGAGGAGGGGCGCGGCGGCGCCGCUGGGUUUCGGCCGUGUUUUCUGACCGUUUGGCUGGGAUUUUGGCUCCGAUUUGGCCACAGGGGAAAUCAGCGUGGAAAAACGAGUCGGGCGUAUGAAAUUUACCUCGAUCGGCGGUCGAAAAUCUCCCUGAUGCGGCGGCAGGUGGCGGCGGCCGGCUCCUCCGGCGUCUAGUUCGUCUUCUCCGGUGAGGGCAGGCGGCUAGGGUUUUUGUGGUCAGGUGUGGAGGUUCUAUUUAUACCCUUUUGCCUUUUGAUCUCAGCCGUUCAUUUUGAUUUAAUCUGGGCCGUCCAUUUUUGAUUGAAUUUGGGCUGUCCAUGCGAUUGCAUCUGGGCCGUC